UAACCUUGCGGUCGUACUCCCCAGGCGGUGUGUUUAUCGGUUUCCCUGCGACACUGAAAAUAAAUUUCCAACGUCUAACACACAUCGUUUACGGCAUGGACUACGAGGGUAUCUAAUCCUCUUCGCUACCCAUGCUUUCGUUCCUCAGUGUCAGUAAUGAUCCAGAAAGCUGCCUUCGCAAUUGGUAUUCUUUCUAAUAUCUACGAAUUUCACCUCUACACUAGAAAUUCUGCUUUCCUCUAUCAUACUCUAGCUGAAAAGUUUUGAUGGCAGUUCCAGAGUUAAGCUCUGGGAUUUCACCACCAACUUUUUCAACCACCUACGAACUCUUUAAGCCCAGUAAUUCCGAACUACGCUAGGUCCCUUCGUAUUACCGCGGCUGCUGGCACGAAGUUAGCCGGACCUUCUUAUUCGGGUACAGUCAUUUUCUUCCCCGACGAAAGAGCUUUACAACCCAAAGGCCUUCUUCACUCACGCGGCAUCGCUGCAUCAGAGUUUCCUCCAUUGUGCAAGAUUCCCCACUGCUGCCUCCCGUAGGAGUUUGGGCCGUGUCUCAGUCCCAAUGUGGCUGAUCAUCCUCUCAAAUCAGCUAUUGAUCAUAGUCUUGGUAGGCCAUUACCCUACCAACAAACUAAUCAAGUGCGGGCUCAUCCAAUGGUGCAUAAAGCUUUCUCCGUAAAGACUUAUCCGGUAUUAGCACAAGUUUCCUCGUGUUAUUCCAGGCCAAAGGGUAGAUACCCACAUGUUACUCACCCGUCUGCCACUAAGUAUUGCUACUUCGUUCGACUUGCAUGUGUUAGGCGUGCCGCCAGCGUACGUUCUGAGCCAGGAUCAAACUCU
RNAcentral lists this ribosomal RNA (840 nucleotides) under uncultured bacterium. RNAcentral describes it as "partial 16S ribosomal RNA". The record is from RNAcentral.